This 476-nucleotide ribosomal RNA is filed under the name uncultured organism. RNAcentral describes it as "partial 16S ribosomal RNA". It matches the Rfam family "Bacterial small subunit ribosomal RNA", at positions 333 to 800 of the family's 1533-position model. The record is from RNAcentral.
ACACUCCUACGGGAGGCAGCAGUGGGGAAUAUUGCACAAUGGGCGCAAGCCUGAUGCAGCCAUGCCGCGUGUAUGAAGAAGGCCUUCGGGUUGUAAAGUACUUUCAGCGGGGAGGAAGGCGAUAAGGUUAAUAACCUUGUCGAUUGACGUUACCCGCAGAAGAAGCACCGGCUAACUCCGUGCCAGCAGCCGCGGUAAUACGGAGGGUGCAAGCGUUAAUCGGCAUUACUGGGCGUAAAGCGCACGCAGGCGGUCUGUCAAGUCGGAUGUGAAAUCCCCGGGCUCAACCUGGGAACUGCAUUCGAAACUGGCAGGCUAGAGUCUUGUAGAGGGGGGUAGAAUUCCAGGUGUAGCCGUGAAAUGCGUAGAGAUCUGGAGGAAUACCGGUGGCGAAGGCGGCCCCCUUGACAAAGACUGACGCUCGGGUGCGAAAGCGUGGGGAGCAAACAGGAUUAGAAACCCUUGUAGUCCCAUGA